This 184-nucleotide non-coding RNA is filed under the name Gottschalkia purinilytica. Lineage: Bacteria; Bacillati; Bacillota; Tissierellia; Tissierellales; Gottschalkiaceae. The record is from RNAcentral.
AAUACUGUUCUCGUUUUGGGUACCAUGUAAGGGUUUAAUAGGGAAAGUGGUGAGAUGCCACUACAGCCCCCGCUACUGUAUACGGAGACAAAUCUUUAAUAACCACUGGUGUACAUUUUACACUGGGAAGGAAAGAGGAGGAUGACACGUGAGUCAGGAGACCUGCCUAAAAUGUGCGCUACAC